GGCCGUUUGGGUGGCGGUAUAGU
RNAcentral lists this non-coding RNA (23 nucleotides) under Arabidopsis thaliana (thale cress). The record is from RNAcentral. Lineage: Eukaryota; Viridiplantae; Streptophyta; Magnoliopsida; Brassicales; Brassicaceae.